UAAUAAAUGCCAGGAGGUCUCUGCUACAGUAUACACUACAGAAGCUUUCUCAGCACGGUGGAAGUAAUGGAAGUGGUAAUGAAAGCACAGGGCUGAUGAUAUCUUUUUACUCGACGUUAACAGAUGGAAGAGGAGUCGCCACAUGUCGAAAUGAGCCAACAAGUCACGACGGAUAACAGAAUCCUCGCUUGGUUUGCUUGUGAUUGGAUAAGUGGCAGAGAGCAUGAUCAACAGGCUCUCUCUUCCUCCGAUAAUUCCCAGCAGUGAAAUAAAAGAAUUCCAGGUGGAGCGCAUCACUCCUCGGUGAUGGAAGCUGGGGCCAUGAAAAUCCUCUGUCAUUGGCUAGUUAAUCUAGCAGGGUGAUUGUUCCCUGAUGACUGGUCGCCUUGUCACUCGUCGGGAGGAUGAAAGGAGCAUUUCCAUGUUAAGUGGAUGGCUCCCCAUUUACCGUCUUUGUGAUGAUUGCAAGUGCACCAGAACAACAAAAUUAAAACGGACAUUUUCCUUUUGCCGAGCUGAUUAAAAUUCACAAGUCUGUUUUUUGUUUUGUUUUUUUGUGUGUGUGGUGGGGGU
Long non-coding RNA from Syngnathus acus (greater pipefish), 573 nucleotides. RefSeq lists it as uncharacterized. NCBI's taxonomy places the organism in Eukaryota, Metazoa, Chordata, Actinopteri, Syngnathiformes, Syngnathidae. The transcript is spliced from 3 exons. The record is from RefSeq and is a predicted model, not a curated record.